AUGGGAAGACUCACAGGAAGCUGAAAUGCAUAUUGCUAGAUAGAAGAACCAAUCCGAAAAGGCUACUUUCUCUAUGAUUCCAACUACGUGACUUUCUGGAAAAGGCAAAACUAUGGAGAUGGUAAAAAGAGAAAAGGAUUUCUGCUUUCAAAUCCGCUGUUUCCUGAGGCUGGGUGCUGAGUUCAGCUGCCCCUGGAGGAGCAGCAGCUCUGGGCCGCUGGCAGGGCCGCAUCCUCUUCAGUCUGGACAAAUUCCCUGCAGCCAGGGGAAGUGGCCCAUGCCUGCUGUCCUGGUAUGCAACAUCGGACCUGCAUGCUGGAAUUUGACCCUUUUCC
RNAcentral lists this long non-coding RNA (335 nucleotides) under Homo sapiens (human). Its description in RNAcentral is "HSALNT0363582". Lineage: Eukaryota; Metazoa; Chordata; Mammalia; Primates; Hominidae. The record is from RNAcentral.